CCUACGGGUGGCAGCAGUGAGGAAUAUUGGUCAAUGGUCGGGAGACUGAACCAGCCAAGCCGCGUGAGGGAUGAAGGUACAGAGUAUCGUAAACCUCUUUUGUCAGGGAACAAAGGCGGGGACGUGUCCCCGGAUGAGUGUACCUGAAGAAAAAGCAUCGGCUAACUCCGUGCCAGCAGCCGCGGUAAUACGGAGGAUGCGAGCGUUAUCCGGAUUUAUUGGGUUUAAAGGGUGCGCAGGCGGUCUGUUAAGUCAGCGGUCAAAGCCCGGGGCUCAACCCCGGCCCGCCGUUGAAACUGGCAGUCUCGAGUUGGAGAGAAGUAUGCGGAAGGCGCGGUGUAGCGGUGAAAUGCAUAGAUAUCAGGAGGAAUACCGUUAGCGAAGGCGGCAAUCUGGCUGGAAACUGACGCUGAGGUGCGAAAGCGUGGGUAGCAAACAGGAUUAGAUACCCCAGUAGUC
RNAcentral lists this ribosomal RNA (459 nucleotides) under uncultured bacterium. RNAcentral describes it as "partial 16S ribosomal RNA". It matches the Rfam family "Bacterial small subunit ribosomal RNA", at positions 338 to 795 of the family's 1533-position model. The record is from RNAcentral.